GUCCUGGAGGCCCGGCGGGGAGCGGGGCGAUUUCGAAAGGAAGGACUGCAGCGCCCCUCGGGGCUUCUCGGGGAGCCCAGGAGGAAAGAGCUCAAUGCGGAAUCACAUAGGCAAAGGCUCUGAUUAUUUUCCUUGCAAUCGAAGACAAAAGCCGCCAUGUUUAUUAAAAUGAAAGUCGUAUUUUUACUCUUCCCUGGAAAGAAGUAUGUGCAACCAGACCAUCCCACCAAAGUCCUUCUAGGUAUGAAAUAUAUUCAUGAUUCUGUCUCAAAAUAUGAAAUCAAAAGUUAGCAUUAUAACUCCCAGCUAACUGUCAUAUUAAUUCAUCUGGAUGAACCUUGUGGUACUGAACUUUGACAAUGCUCAGGGUGUCAAAGCAAACACCUGCCCCACCCCACGCCUACCCCAAAAACAAACGAGAGGCUUUUAUAGGUUGCAAGUCCUGGUCUGGUUUAUUUAUAAAGCAAUAAAU
RNAcentral lists this long non-coding RNA (472 nucleotides) under Homo sapiens (human). RNAcentral describes it as "HSALNT0380539". The record is from RNAcentral. Lineage: Eukaryota; Metazoa; Chordata; Mammalia; Primates; Hominidae.